Molecule: ribosomal RNA, 465 nt
Filed under: uncultured bacterium
Lineage: Bacteria
Description: partial 16S ribosomal RNA
Rfam family: Bacterial small subunit ribosomal RNA
Source: RNAcentral
CCUACGGGAGGCAGCAGUAGGGAAUCUUCCACAAUGGGCGAAAGCCUGAUGGCGCAACGCCGCGUGGGUGAAGAAGGUCUUCGGAUCGUAAAACCCUGUUGUUAGAGAAGAAAGUGCGUGAGAGUAACUGUUCACGUUUCGACGGUAUCUAACCAGAAAGCAACGGCUAACUACGUGCCAGCAGCCGCGGUACUACGUAGGUGGCAAGCGUUAUCCGGAUUUAUUUGGCGUAAAGGGAACGCGGGCGGUCUUUUAAGUCUGAUGUGAAAGCCUUCGGCUUAACCGGAGUAGUGCAUUGGAAACUGGGCGACUUGAGUGCAGAAGAGGAGAGUGGAACUCCAUGUAGAGCGGUGCAAUGCGUAGAGAUAUGGAAGAACACCAGUGGCGAAAGCGGCUCUCUGGUCUGUAACUGAAGCUGAGGUUCGAAAGCGUGGGUAGCAAACAGGAUUAGAUACCCUAGUAGUC